This 420-nucleotide ribosomal RNA is filed under the name uncultured bacterium. RNAcentral's name for it is "bacterial SSU rRNA". It matches the Rfam family "Bacterial small subunit ribosomal RNA", at positions 87 to 523 of the family's 1533-position model. The record is from RNAcentral.
CUGGAUUACUGGCGAACGGGUGAGUAACACGUGAGCAAUCUGCCCUUGACUCUGGGAUAAGCGUUGGAAACGACGUCUAAUACCGGAUACGACCCUCGGAGGCAUCUCCUGGGGGUGGAAAGAAUUUUGGUCAAGGAUGAGCUCGCGGCCUAUCAGCUAGUUCGUGAGGUAAUGGCUCACCAAGGCGACGACGGGUAGCCGGCCUGAGAGGGUGACCGGCCACACUGGGACUGAUACACGGCCCAGACUCCUACGGGCGGCAGCAGUGGGGAAUAUUGCACAAUGGGCGAAAGCCUGAUGCAGCACCCCCCGUGAGGGAUAACGCCCUUCGGGUUGUAAACUUCCUUUAUUAGGGAAUAACCCAAAUGAUAGUCUCUGCAGAAAAAGCACCGGUUAACUACCUGCCACCCCCCUUGCUUC